This 253-nucleotide ribosomal RNA is filed under the name uncultured bacterium. RNAcentral's name for it is "partial 16S ribosomal RNA". It matches the Rfam family "Bacterial small subunit ribosomal RNA", at positions 524 to 776 of the family's 1533-position model. The record is from RNAcentral.
UUCGUAGGGUGCAAGCGUUAAUCGGAAUUACUGGGCGUAAAGCGUACGCAGGCGGCUUUGCAAGACAGGUGUGAAAUCCCCGGGCCUAACCUGGGAACUGCAUUUGUGACUGCAUGGCUAGAGUUUGUCAGAGGGGGGUGGAAUUCCACGUGUAGCAGUGAAAUGCGUAGAUAUGUGGAGGAACACCGAUGGCGAAGGCAGCCCCCUGGGAUGUGACUGACGCUCAUGUACGAAAGCGUGGGGAGCAAACAGG